ACAUACGGCCAUAGGAAAUUGAAAGCAGAAUUCCCCGUUCGAUCAAUUGUACUUAAGCAGUUUACCGGCGGAUUAGUAGUCAGGUGGGUGACCACUGGCGAAUCCCCGCUGUCGUAUGUA
RNAcentral lists this ribosomal RNA (120 nucleotides) under Bipolaris sorokiniana. Lineage: Eukaryota; Fungi; Ascomycota; Dothideomycetes; Pleosporales; Pleosporaceae. The record is from RNAcentral. RNAcentral also lists the same sequence under 1 other name.